GAAGCUAGAGGAAGUAGUGGUUGGUGAGUCAGCGUGAGUAAUUUUGUUCCAAUGAGAAUGAAGAUUGAGGGUUUUUUUUUCCCUCUUAAACAUUUUGGACAUCAUUGCUUAAUGGAGGGAAAUAAGCGAUAUUAUGUCUGUGUAGCUAGUACUUCUUGAUUUUUAAAUCAAAUGAAAAAAUAUUUAGACUCUAGAUAUGUGUCUUCAUAGGCACCUUCCUCGUAGGAAAGUGAGGGGGAAAACAGCUCCUGCUUGUCCAGAUGAGAGAGAGCCACAUUGCGUUCGGUUGCAUCAUACAAUGCAAGCUGUGGGCUCCCCAGCACAAUGAUUACUUUCCCACUGUCCAGACAUCGCUGAGAUCAGAAGAGGCCACCCGUAAGGACAAGAUUACAUAAAGCCACAAGGAUCAUUUGUACUGCAACAAUGGCGUCUCAGCUAUGGGAGAAACCUUAGGCCUCUCCGUACACAGGCCGAGGUGAUGCAUUCAGGUUCAUUUGGCAGAAAACUUUUAGAUGUAGGGAUCACCCAACACUCCCUGCCAGAGGAAUUAAUGGUUUUAAAAGCCAGAAUGUGGGAAGACUUAAAAAGGAAAAUAAAAGCAUCAGGAAAUGAGGAAGCAGGCACACAGGAGGAAAUAGGACCGGGGUGUCUGACAGACAACUUGCUCUUUACUAGAGGUUUUUGUCACCAGGGAUAACUGUACCGUUGGCCUCUUCUGCCAACCCCAAUGUUAGAAAAUAAGUUCCAACACCAACAGCAGAAACAAGAGAGACACCCUGGAAUACAAGUAAAUUGUAGUGGACUGCAGAAUAAUUAAAGUGUAUCAAGUAAUAAGGCUGAGUAAGAUGAAAAUAUUGUGAAUAAAGAAAGUUAUAAUUCAGUCAAAGGAAAUGUGUGUAAGCAAAGAAGAAACACCUGCUAGCUAUGACCACAUCCCACAGAGAGGAGAAACAGGUGACCCUCUUCUCUUUAACCAGUUUACUUUGGACAGAUGUCAACUACAGAAGCCACUACCAGCAAACCAGUGAUCUGUUUUAGGAGAGAACUCGCUCCAAUGGCUCUCUCAGUUGGCUAAUAUUGCUAUAGGGUAAGGUUUCUAAUAUUAAACCCAAAUAGGAAUGGCCAAAAUGCAGACAUUUUACCAAAAACCUUUCUCAGGGUGCGGGAGAUCACCUAAUGCAGUUUUAACUUGAAAUGACAUUGGGGGAGGGAGUUCCACAGACUUAUGCAUCCGAAGAAGUGGGCUGUAGUCCACGAAAGCUUAUGCUCUAAUAAAUUUGUUAGUCUCUAAGGUG
Chrysemys picta bellii (western painted turtle) is the source of this 1295-nucleotide non-coding RNA. Lineage: Eukaryota; Metazoa; Chordata; Testudines; Emydidae. The record is from RefSeq and is a predicted model, not a curated record.